This 29-nucleotide non-coding RNA is filed under the name Rattus norvegicus (Norway rat). The record is from RNAcentral. Lineage: Eukaryota; Metazoa; Chordata; Mammalia; Rodentia; Muridae.
UACAACAGAGAAUGUUUGCAUGCCUGUCC